Molecule: ribosomal RNA, 235 nt
Filed under: uncultured Polynucleobacter sp.
Lineage: Bacteria; Pseudomonadati; Pseudomonadota; Betaproteobacteria; Burkholderiales; Burkholderiaceae
Description: partial 16S ribosomal RNA
Rfam family: Bacterial small subunit ribosomal RNA
Source: RNAcentral
AGCUGAGUUUGAUCCUGGCUCAGAUUGAACGCUGGCGGCAUGCCUUACACAUGCAAGUCGAACGGCAGCACGGGUGCUUGCACCUGGUGCGAGUGGCGGAACGGGUGAGUAAUACAUCGGAACGUACCUUAUCGUGGGGGAUAACGCAGCGAAAGCUGUGCUAAUACCACAUACGCCCUGAGGGGAAGCGGGGGAUCGAAAGACCUCGCGCGAUUAGAGCGGCCGAUGCCUGAUU